Molecule: ribosomal RNA, 254 nt
Filed under: uncultured bacterium
Lineage: Bacteria
Description: partial 16S ribosomal RNA
Rfam family: Bacterial small subunit ribosomal RNA
Source: RNAcentral
UACGGGGGGAGCAAGCGUUGUUCGGAUUUACUGGGCGUAAAGGGCGCGUAGGCGGCCACUGCAAGUCGGUUGUGAAAUCUCCGGGCUUAACCCGGAAAGGUCAAUCGAUACUGCAGGGCUAGAGUGCAGAAGGGGCAACUGGAAUUCUCGGUGUAGCGGUGAAAUGCGUAGAUAUCGAGAGGAACACCUGCGGCGAAGGCGGGUUGCUGGGCCGACACUGACGCUGAUGCGCGAAAGCCAGGGGAGCGAACGGG